Molecule: ribosomal RNA, 502 nt
Filed under: uncultured Mobiluncus sp.
Lineage: Bacteria; Bacillati; Actinomycetota; Actinomycetes; Actinomycetales; Actinomycetaceae
Description: partial 16S ribosomal RNA
Source: RNAcentral
CACGUAGUUAGCCGGCGCUUCUUCCCCCACUACCAUCAACACAGCCAAAACUGUGCCUUUUUCGCGAGAAAAAGGAGUUCACAACCCGAAGGCCUACACCCUCCACGCGGCGUCGCUGCAUCAAACUUUCGUCCAUUGUGCAAUAUUCCCCACUGCUGCCCCCCGUAGGAGUCUGGGCCGUAUCUCAGUCCCAGUGCGACCGACCACCCUCUCAGGCCGGCUACCCGUCAAAGCCUUGGUAAGCCAUCACCCCACCAACAAGCUGAUAGGCCGCGAGCCCACCCAAUCCCAGAAAAAACCUUUCCAAACCACACCAUGCGAUGCAGCCUGAAUAUCCAGUAUUAGCAGCCGUUUCCAGCCGUUAUCCCAAAGAAAAGGACAGGUUACUCACGUGUUACUCGCCCGUUCGCCACUAAUCCACGAGUGCAAGCACCCGCUUCAUCGUUCGACUUGCAUGUGUUAAGCACGCCGCCAGCGUGUCUCUAGCACGAGUCAACGUACU